UACGUAGGGUGCGAGCGUUAAUCGGAAUUACUGGGCGUAAAGCGUGCGCAGGCGGGCUUUUAAGCCAGACGUGAAAUCCCCGGGCUUAACCUGGGAAUGGCGUUUGGGACUGGGAGUCUGGAGUACGGCAGAGGAGACUGGAAUUCCUGGUGUAGCAGUGAAAUGCGUAGAUAUCAGGAGGAACACCGAUGGCGAAGGCGAGUCCCUGGACAACUCCUGACACUGAGGCACGAAAGCUAGGGGAGCAAACAGG
Molecule: ribosomal RNA, 253 nt
Filed under: uncultured bacterium
Lineage: Bacteria
Description: partial 16S ribosomal RNA
Rfam family: Bacterial small subunit ribosomal RNA
Source: RNAcentral